GCCUUCGUGGUGUAAUGGUUAGCACACUCGACCUGUAUUCGAGAGAUCCAAGUUCGAGUCCCUGCGAGGGCA
This is a non-coding RNA of Stegodyphus dumicola, 72 nucleotides long. NCBI's taxonomy places the organism in Eukaryota, Metazoa, Arthropoda, Arachnida, Araneae, Eresidae. The record is from the annotation of a RefSeq genome assembly.